Long non-coding RNA from Lactuca sativa (garden lettuce), 756 nucleotides. RefSeq lists it as uncharacterized. NCBI's taxonomy places the organism in Eukaryota, Viridiplantae, Streptophyta, Magnoliopsida, Asterales, Asteraceae. The record is from RefSeq and is a predicted model, not a curated record.
CGACACUAAUACCCUAUUCUUUCUGCAUAAAACCCUUGUUGAUGCUGUGACGUUGCACCACCCUGUACGGGCACUCCCACACCUCUUCUCCACCGGCUUUCUUCUCCGUUGUGCCUCCUGUCCACCGGCUCCCUACAUCCAGUGUUGCUUAGAGUAAAACAAAUGGCUUACACCUGCUGGGUUGCACAUCCUAGUUAUCAUUGAAAGGGUGCGCGUUGGUGUUGGGUUUUCCUCUCUCUGCAACAAUGGAGUUUUGGGGUGCUGCAGUGAAAUGCGGUGGUCAAGCGUUUGAUGUAAAGCUUGGGGAAUCCAGUUAUCUGAAUAUUUCUCGGCCUUCGCUCGGUGAAGAAGCACAGGACAGGAGCCUGUUAUUGUUUACUUUACUGUCAACAAAAAAGAAAAAAGAAAAAAGAAAAAAGAAAAAAGAAAACAAGUACUUGCAAUUCUUGAUCCUAAGUUGCUCUGCCAGAAGACCGCUUUUGCUUGACGUUUGUCAAAAGACUUCAAAAUAAGUCACAACCUCAGAAAUGGAACUGUUUACUUCUUCCGACACAAAAAUAAACCCACACCAAAGAAGGAAGUAGGAAAUAAUGUGGAGUAAGCAAGUUCUGAUUGCUUGUGAAUGUGCACAGAUUUUAAUGAAGAGUGAUGAGGGAAGUUUGUAAAUUGUAAUAUCCAUUCUCUCUUUAUGUGUUGAAGAUUGAUGAUGACAAUUAUGGUUAUGCUCUAUCUACCUACCCAUCCGAUUUUAGAUUA